AGAACGAACGCUGGCGGCAGGCUUAACACAUGCAAGUCGAACGCUCCGCAAGGGGAGUGGCAGACGGGUGAGUAACGCGUGGGAAUCUACCCAAUACUACGGAAUAGCUCCGGGAAACUGGAAUUAAUACCGUAUGUGCCCUACGGGGGAAAGAUUUAUCGGUAUUGGAUGAGCCCGCGUUGGAUUAGCUAGUUGGUGAGGUAACGGCCCACCAAGGCGACGAUCCAUAGCUGGUCUGAGAGGAUGAUCAGCCACACUGGGACUGAGACACGGCCCAGACUCCUACGGGAGGCAGCAGUGGGGAAUAUUGGACAAUGGGCGCAAGCCUGAUCCAGCCAUGCCGCGUGAGUGAUGAAGGCCUUAGGGUUGUAAAGCUCUUUCAGUGGGAAGAUAAUGACGGUACCCACAGAAGAAGCCCGGCUAACUUCGCGCCAGCAGCCGC
Molecule: ribosomal RNA, 442 nt
Filed under: uncultured bacterium
Lineage: Bacteria
Description: SSU rRNA
Rfam family: Bacterial small subunit ribosomal RNA
Source: RNAcentral